UGCAAAUGCACUCAGGCUUGCUCUCUCUCUCUCUCUCUCAAAAUAAAUAAACCUUAAAAAAACAAAGAAUAUGUAACUUUCCUGAAGGCUAAGAAAUUUCUCUCCCUAAAUUGCUUAAUGCUAUAACUUUCUCAGGAAUUGCUGCUCAAUAAAUCAGCUGAUUUGACUUUGUCCUUUUUUGUACUGAAGUAUAAUCUGCAAUAGUAAACGGCACUGAUCUCAAGUAUACAGUUUGUUGAGUUUUGAUAAAUGUAUGCACGCGUAACCUAUCUUCCUGCCAACAUGUAGGACGUUUGCAUGUUGACUGGAUUUUGAUUCCUUCAUGACUGCGUUACUGAAAACCCACUAUUUUCCCCCAUGUAAUAGGCCAUAAAUUCAAGUAAGAUCCUUGGACCAGAUCAAACAUUAUUUAUGUAGGAUCACUGCCAGAUUUUUUUUACUUAAAAGGGAUUUCGUGAAUCUGACAGUCUCACCGUAAAAGCAACAACAAAUACUGCAAUGGUAUUCCAACAGACGUCGGGCUUCAGAGAAGUACGAGGCACACUCCCUGUACUCGAGGUACUUGAUGCCUAAUGAGGAAAACAGAAAACAAACAACAAGUGUCCAUCCAAAGUACUCCAACUAGGGCGGUGAGCAAAUAAAUAAAUAAGCAUCCCUGACACAACAACUUGCCAAUGACAUUAUCCAGUUGGUGGACAUUAGCCAGAUGUCUUGGGUCAGAAUCGUGGACAAAGACCGUCACCUGAAGUUUCACUCAACAACACUCAAUAACAGCGCAUGAUUAUUACAUAUUAAAAAUCAAGAGGCUCCCAAAGACACUUAGUGACUGACAGCUUCAUCUCCCAGGCUUUUUAAAGUUCAUCAUGCAAACACAGACAGUGUGAAACAGUUAGUCUAAUUAAGCAUUUUCCUUAUCCUCCCCCAGCAGAACUGCGUUUGAGAUAAAGGAUAAUGGCACUAAAUGAACAGGUUAAUUAGAGACAGCAUUUACCCCCGCAGGCCCUUCACUGGAAACACCAUUUCACACCAUUACAUCACACAGGAGAGCCAGGCUCCAGGGACCAGCUCCUGAGACAGCCAGUGACCGGCAGAGAACGUAGCAAGCAGUAGAAAGGGAAAUCAUGUUGGCAUACCCAGUGGUGGCUCAGCCAGGAUGGCCCCCCAUAUUUCUCUAGGGCGUGAGCCCGCCAACUAGAGCUGCAGGCCAAAUCCACCCGGCGAUCACGUUUUGUAUAGCCCGUAAGGUUAGUCUCUGCAUUUUUAAGGUGUUGUUUAAAAAAACAGAAAAAGAGAAAAGAAAUCAAGAAAGAACGUAUGGCAGAAACCUGCGCG
This is a long non-coding RNA of Herpailurus yagouaroundi (jaguarundi), 1332 nucleotides long. RefSeq lists it as uncharacterized. Lineage: Eukaryota; Metazoa; Chordata; Mammalia; Carnivora; Felidae. The transcript has 3 exons. The record is from RefSeq and is a predicted model, not a curated record.